Molecule: ribosomal RNA, 253 nt
Filed under: uncultured bacterium
Lineage: Bacteria
Description: partial 16S ribosomal RNA
Rfam family: Bacterial small subunit ribosomal RNA
Source: RNAcentral
UACAGGGGGUGCAACCGUUGCUCGGAAUCAUUGGGCGUAAAGCGCACGUAGGCGGUUCGUUAUGUCGGGUGUGAAAGCCCUUGGCUUAACCGAGGAAGUGCAUCCGAAACUGGCGAGCUAGAGUACUAAAGAGGAUCGCGGAAUUCCCGGUGUAGAGGUGAAAUUCGUAGAUAUCGGGAGGAACACCGGUGGCGAAGGCGGCGAUCUGGGUAGAUACUGACGCUGAGGUGCGAAAGCGUGGGGAGCAAACAGG